AUUGAACGCUGGCGGCAGGCCUAACACAUGCAAGUCGAGCGAGCGGCGGACGGGUGAGUAAUGUAUGGGGAUCUGACCGAUAGAGGGGGCUAACUACUGGAAACGGUGGCUAAUACCGCAUACUAUCGGCUGAGCCCAUAUGGGAUUAGCUAGUAGGUGGGGUAAAGGCUCACCUAGGCGACGAUCCCUAGCUGGUCUGAGAGGAUGACCAGCCACACGGGGACUGAGACACGGGCCAGACUCCUACGGGAGGCAGCAGUGGGGAAUAUUGCACAAUGGGCGAAAGCCUGAUGCAGCCAUGCCGCGGGGAUGAAGAAGGCCUUAGGGUUGUAAAGUACUUUCAGCGGGGAGGCGUUACCCGCAGAAGAAGCACCGGCUAACUCCGUGCCAGCAGCCGCGGUAAUAC
Molecule: ribosomal RNA, 406 nt
Filed under: uncultured bacterium
Lineage: Bacteria
Description: partial 16S ribosomal RNA
Rfam family: Bacterial small subunit ribosomal RNA
Source: RNAcentral